This 465-nucleotide ribosomal RNA is filed under the name Vreelandella stevensii. Its description in RNAcentral is "partial 16S ribosomal RNA". It matches the Rfam family "Bacterial small subunit ribosomal RNA", at positions 338 to 795 of the family's 1533-position model. Lineage: Bacteria; Pseudomonadati; Pseudomonadota; Gammaproteobacteria; Oceanospirillales; Halomonadaceae. The record is from RNAcentral.
CCUACGGGUCGCAGCAGUGGGGAAUAUUGGACAAUGGGCGAAAGCCUGAUCCAGCCAUGCCGCGUGUGUGAAGAAGGCCUUCGGGUUGUAAAGCACUUUCAGUGGGGAAGAAAGCCUUGGGGCUAAUACCCUCGAGGAAGGACAUCACCCACAGAAGAAGCACCGGCUAACUCCGUGCCAGCAGCCGCGGUAAUACGGAGGGUGAGAGCGUUAAUCGGAAUUAUUGGGCGUAAAGCGCGCGUAGGCGGUCUGAUAAGCCGGUUGUGAAAGCCCCGGGCUCAACCUGGGAACGACAUCCGGAACUGUCAGGCUAGAGUGCAGGAGAGGAAGGUAGAAUUCCCGGUGUAGCGGUGAAAUGCGUAGAGAUCGGGAGGAAUACCAGUGGCGAAGGCGGCCUUCUGGACUGACACUGACGCUGAGGUGCGAAAGCGUGGGUAGCAAACAGGAUUAGAUACCCGGGUAGUC